CGCUAUCACUCCUACGGGAGGCAGCAGUGGGGGAAUAUUGCACAAUGGGCGAAAGCCUGAUGCAGCCAUGCCGCGUGUGUGAAGAAGGCCUUCGGGUUGUAAAGCACUUUCAGCGAGGAGGAAAGGUUGACGGUUAAUACCCGUCAGCUGUGACGUUACUCGCAGAAGAAGCACCGGCUAACUCCGUGCCAGCAGCCGCGGUAAUACGGAGGGUGCGAGCGUUAAUCGGAAUUACUGGGCGUAAAGCGCAUGCAGGCGGCCAAGUCAGUCAGAUGUGAAAGCCCCCGGGCUUAACCUGGGAAUUGCAUUUGAAACUGCUUGGCUAGAGUCCUUGAGAGGGGGUAGAAUUUCAGGUGUAGCGGUGAAAUGCGUAGAGAUCUGAAGGAAUACCAGUGGCGAAGGCGGCCCCCUGGCAAGAGACUGACGCUCAGAUGCGAAAGCGUGGGGAGCAAACAGGAUUAGAUACCCUGGUAG
RNAcentral lists this ribosomal RNA (474 nucleotides) under uncultured bacterium. Its description in RNAcentral is "bacterial SSU rRNA". It matches the Rfam family "Bacterial small subunit ribosomal RNA", at positions 328 to 793 of the family's 1533-position model. The record is from RNAcentral.